AGAGUUUGAUCCUGGCUCAGGAUGAACGCUAGCGGCAGGCUUAAUACAUGCAAGUCGAGGGGCAGCACAGUAUAGCAAUAUAUGGGUGGCGACCGGCAAACGGGUGCGUAACACGUACGCAACUUACCCUUUACUGGGAGAUAGCCCAGGGAAACUUGGAUUAAUAUCCCAUAUUGCAGAGAAUCGGCAUCGGUUUUCUGCCAAGGUUCCGACGGUAAAGGAUGGGCGUGCGGUUGAUUAGGUAGUUGGCGGGGUAACGGCCCACCAAGCCUACGAUCAAUAGCUGAUGUGAGAGCAUGAUCAGCCACACGGGCACUGAGACACGGGCCCGACUCCUACGGGAGGCAGCAGUAAGGAAUAUUGGGCAAUGGACGCAAGUCUGACCCAGCCAUGCCGCGUGAAGGAUGAAGGCCCUCUGGGUUGUAAACUUCUUUUAUCUGGGGCGAAAGGCGGUUAUUCUUAGCCGUUUGACAGUACCAGAGGAAUAAGCACCGGCUAACUCCGUGCCAGCAGCCGCGGUAAUACGGAGGGUGCAAGCGUUAUCCGGAUUCACUGGGUUUAAAGGGUGCGUANGUGGAUCUGUAAGUC
Molecule: ribosomal RNA, 588 nt
Filed under: uncultured freshwater bacterium
Lineage: Bacteria
Description: bacterial SSU rRNA
Rfam family: Bacterial small subunit ribosomal RNA
Source: RNAcentral